This 231-nucleotide ribosomal RNA is filed under the name uncultured bacterium. RNAcentral describes it as "partial 16S ribosomal RNA". It matches the Rfam family "Bacterial small subunit ribosomal RNA", at positions 89 to 334 of the family's 1533-position model. The record is from RNAcentral.
AGUAAAGUGGCGUACGGGUGAGUAACACGUGGAUCAUCUACCUCUUAGUGGGGAAUAACUUUGGGAAACCGAAGCUAAUACCGCAUAAGCCUGGAAAGGGAAAGCAGCAAUGCGCUGAGAGAGGAGUCCGCGGCCGAUUAGCUAGUUGGCAGGGUAAAAGCCUACCAAGGCAUUGAUCGGUAGCCGGCCUGAGAGGGCACACGGCCACACUGGCACCGAAACACGGGCCAG